GUCAUGCCUAAAGCCUUUAAUGGCUAUGUUUGUUUAGUUAGCUGCGUGUUAAUUGUCUCUACUGACAGAAUGGAAUCUCCAGGAGCCAGAAUGUGGUCUGUCUCCUCCAACACCAAAUCCCCAGGCAUACAGUAGGCACUUAGAUACUUGGGGAAUGGCCACCUGACUCAAUGAACAAUAGCUAAUAGGAUAAUUUGCACACAGAGCUGUAUACAAUCAAGAAGAAGGAAGGCGGACUGAGUGACAGCUGGGUGCCUUAGCUCUUCACGAGCAAGCCCUCCUUGUUGGAGUACCGGGAAAACCUGAGCCAAGGGAGGCUGCUCUGUCACUGGGUAUCUGUCUGAAUAGCCCCCACGAACCCCACCCACCAUGGGGUCCAAGCCAAGCCAGGGAACCUGCCUAGAUCCUGAGUUAAGCCGCACAACCAGCCAACAGUGUAGAAGGGAAGCUGAACUUCCCUCAGAAGAGGUUGUGAUUCAUGGACCCAGCAGCCAGGAGAUGUGCAUGUGUACAUGGCCAGAGAACAGGUCAGCGUUAGCUUCCGUGGCACCAGCUGAGCCUGGCAUGAGGAAGUUCAGGAGUAGGACAGUUUGGAGCUUUUAAUAUCAGAGGGGCUCCGUUCCCACCGACCCACUGUGGAAUAUCUCCUGAUGUCGGGGUUCUCCUGUUGAGAACCCCCUCUGCCUGCAAGCUCUCUUUCCCACAGUUUUCCCCUUGUUUAUUUGUCUAGGUCACUUCUACCCACUGUACUUCCAUCUAGGCCAGGAACAGUGGCUUUGUCCCCUCCCUGUAACAGCGCCAAGCACAGUGCCAGGCUUCUGUAAGGUGCCCACUGCCUGUUGUUGGCAGAAUGAAUCGCAUCAGAACAGUUACACCACGUGCCAGGGGUUCUCAGUUCUGCAGUCGCUCAGGCUUUGGUCUUUGAAGAACAGGCCGCUUUGUGCCUCGCCCUGUGGGUGCUUCAAAUAGCAGCCAGUGAGGCAGGAAGACAGCUGGCUCUGGAACCAGCCCCUCGGGUGACGCUGAGCCUCAAUUUCCUGAGCACUGAAAGGGGGUGAAUAAUAGCUCCUACCUCAUCGGAGUUUCCUGGGGAUUGAGUCAAAGAAUUUAAAAUACUCAACACAGUGCAGGGAAUAUAGGAAGUUUGGCAACUUUAGCUUUGCUUGUGUUAUGUUUUGUAGUUAUUAGUUUUUGUCCACUAUUCUGUUCCCACUUUUGGGGGGGUGGGGGGAGUACGGGAAUUGAACGCAGGGGCACUCCACCACUGAGCCACAUCCCCAGCCCUAUUUUUCAUUUUAGAGACAGAGUCUCACUGAGUUGCUUAGCAUCUCACUUUUUGCUGAGGCUGGCUUUGAACUCACAAUCUUCCUGUCUCAGCCUCCCAAGCUACUGGGAUGACAGGCCUGUACCACCACGCCCGGCCCGGCCACUCUGUUACCACUUUCUACUUGAUCAAUGCAUAGACUGCUUCACCUAAUCUUUCUCUUUCUCCAGUACUGGGGAUUUAACCCAGGGUCAUUUUACCACUGAACCACUCCCCCAGCACUUUUUAUUUUUUAUGUUGAGACAGGGUCUCAGUAAAUUGCUUAGGGCCUUGCUAAGUUGCUGAGGUUGGUCUCAAACACUUGUGGUUCUCCUGCUUCAGCCUCCUGAGCCACUGGAAUUACAGGUGUGUGCCACUGUGCCCAGCUCAUCUUUAUGAACUUGAAUAUUUUCCACUGUAGACUGCAAAAAAAAAGAGAAGGAGAGAGAGAAGGAAAGAAAGAAGGAAAAAGAAAAAGAGAGAGAGAGAGAGAGAGAGAGAGAGAAAGAAAGAAAGAGCAGCUUCGCAGCGGGGCCUGGCUCCCCACACAGCCACAGAGGAAGAGGUUUGCAGAAGGCGCACUUAGACAUCACUUCCCUUAGCAGAUGCCCUUCCCCCCAGCUCUCCUCCUUUCCCUUUGCUUUAACUAGGUGUUUCCAGGACUGAAAAGGCAGACAUGAAAACUGCCCUCUUGUUGACUGCUGAGAGUCUAACCUGUUACUCUUUGCUCACAUUUACAUUUGGCUAACAAUCGUUUUCCAGACGUGGGUCAUUCUUGACUCCUCAGUCUAGAGGGCAUGUUUCUAAAUGUCUAGAUGUGAUUGGUACAUAAACAGACAUGCUCAUAUCUUUUGAAUUACUUUUUUAAAUGAAAAAGGCAUAAACUAGACUUUAGAACAGUAAUAUUUCCAGUAUUUCAGUGUAUUGAUAAUAUUGAACGGAAAAAGAAAGUCAUCUGUGAGUCAGGAUAAAUGAUUAAAUUAGGAUUUGUGCUAAGAUAAGCCAGUCUUGUAUAUCAUCAUGAUAGUAAUUUAAAAAGCACACACGAGAGAUCUAUCCAUCUUGCCUGCCAGGUGCCAGAAUUCCCACUACUUGUGCAUUCAAAUUAUGCAUUUAACAAAUUUGCAUCAAGUGUUGUCCAAGCCCUGGGCACCACAAUAGCCGCUGAGAAACCCAGAUGUUAAUAGACAUUAUCCCUACCCCUAAAGAAAGUUUCCUCCUAAUGAAUUCACAGAUAAACCAGCAGGUGGAGUGUUGUUGAGUGAGAUCAGCUCCGUGUGAAGACUGUACAAGGGCCGAGGAAGAAGGGAGGAGCCUCAGCCCACCCGAGGGCAGGCCUCACAACAGGGUAAUUCUUGAGGAGAAGCCUGAGGGAUAAAUAGAAGAUUGACAGAGAAUGGUGAGGUAGGAGAGCGCAGGGGGCAGGGCUCACACAGAGGAAACAGGGCUGAGGCCAGCCCCUGUGGUGCGCUUGGAAUAGAGACCUCCGCUGAAAGAGUUGUGCAGAACCAGUGCAGGAGGUGGUCUGCUCAGGGGUCUGGGCAGGGAGGUGUGCCAUGUCAUGGAGGAGGGAUUUUGACUUGGGGAAACCAUUAAAAAUUCUUACACAAGGAAAAACCCUACUACAGAAUAGACUCUUAAAAGGAAGUACAAAUAUUUGAAAUGUUGAGAAAAAAACCUGUCUUAUAUACUUGUGAUAUGACUAGGAAACUCAAGUGAAUUAAGUAGAAACUACUAGAACUAAAUAAGAACUGCAUGAGGUGGCUGGACCCAAGAUAAAUAUAAAAACCAAAAGCUUUCCCACAUGCUAGCAAUAAGCUAUUAAAAAACUUAGUGAGGAGCUGGGGUUGUGGCUCAGUGGUAGAGCACUUGCCUAGCACGUGUGAGGCAAGAGUUCAAUCCUCAGCACCACAUAAAAAUAAAAUAAAUAUAUUGUGUCCACCUUAAAAAAAAACAGUAAAAAAGAUAAUGGAACAAAACAGGAACAUUAAAAGAAAUGCCUUGUUUUUGGAUAAGAAGAUGCAAUGUUAUAAAGCCUUCUGUUCUCCCCAACUUAGUCUAGUAAUUCAGUGAACCUGCAACCCUAAUCCUAUAAUGUUCAUAUUUGUGUAUUGAUUGAUUGAUUGACUUAGUUCCGGGGAUCAGUCCCCGGGCCUCAAGAGUGCUAGGCAAGUGCUCUAACCCUGAGCUACAUCUCUAACUUCCUACAGUGUUUUUAAAAAUUAGCUCAUUCUAAAAUUCAACUGUAAUUGUGAUUGCAUGAGGAUAGCCAAGAAGUUUUUGUAAAAUGAAGCAAAUAGUAAGGAACAACUUGCCCUAAGAAUAUCAAAUGCAUUAUACUAUUUUUAAAAAUAUUUUUCUAGUUGUCAAUGGACCUUUAAUUUAUUUAUUUUUUAUUUAUAUGUGGUGCUGAGAAUCAAACCCAGUGUCUCACACAUGCUAGGCAAGCACUCUACCACUGAGCCACAACCCCAGCUGCUCAAAUGUACUAUACUCUUACCAAGAAAUGUGUAAAUAAUAUAAAUUAAAGCUUUAAAAUAUAUUUUAGCAAAUAUAAAAUUACUUAUGGGACUUGGUUGAUAUUGCUAAUUUAUAUUAAGAAACAAAAUAUGUUGUACACCAAAGUCCAUAGGUUAGAAAUACUAGAAAUGACACUGUGGGAACAAUUGUUGGAACAGACAGCUUGUUACAGAAGCAGGCAUGGAUACAGAGGUUGUAUUGAUUUUUAAGAAUCAAUGUCCAGGGAAGAAGAAGCAGGAUUGCCCAGAGGGAAGCCACCCUGCGGUGCAGGUCUGACCAGCCCUUGCCUGUAGGAGUUCCAGGAUGCAUACAGCCAUCAGAGAUGUCAACAUGGUGAUCAUUCAUGAGAUGGAGUUAAAAUCACAGCAAGCUGGGACCACAUACCCACCAGAAUAGCUAUAAUCAAAAAGGCCGACAGUACCAAGGUGGCCGAGAAUGUAGAUUAAUGGUGACAUUCAUGUGCUGAUGGUGGAAAUGUGAACUGCUUCAGCCACUUAGGUAACUGGCUGGCUGCAUCCGCUGAUGUAUGACCCAGAAGUUCCACUUCUCAGUAUAUACACAGACAGCCUUGUACACGCUGACCAAGAGAUGUGUACAAGACUGUUCAUAACAGCAUUAUUUGGAAUAGUCCCCAAAUGCCCACCAACAGUAGAACGGAACAUGGAUUAUGGUAUAUUCGUGCAUGUGCUAAAUUCAUGGAAUAUUACAGCAAAGAACGCUACCACAGGAAGCGACAGAGAUGAACCCCCUAAAUGUAGUGUUGAACACGGGAAGCUGGACAUAAAAAAAAAUGUUGUGAAAUUCUGCUUUCAUAAAAUUCAAAAGUUGACAAGCCAUUCCAAGGUGACAGCCAUGAAGUAGCAGUCCAUUGGGGGUAAUUGCGGAAGGUGGCCCCAGGGCUGUUGGCCAUGCUCAUUUCUUGAGCUGACAGUGCUCAUUCAUGCGCUUUCCCCUCCUCAAACAGCCUUGGAGCGUGCACUUGAUCCGUGUUCUUUCCUGUGUGUAUGUUUGUGUUUCUCCCUAAUAAAUUGUCCCCAGGCUUAGUGACCUAAAACCAC
This 4881-nucleotide long non-coding RNA is filed under the name Marmota monax (woodchuck). The stretch from base 3147 to 3214 matches the Rfam family "tRNA". The record is from RNAcentral. Lineage: Eukaryota; Metazoa; Chordata; Mammalia; Rodentia; Sciuridae.